GUGUUUACUUCAGCAGCACAUAUACUAAAAUCUGAAUCAUAAAGAAAUUAUCAUGGUUCCUGAGCCAAGAUGACACACAAAUUCAUAAAUUAUUAUGAGAUUUC
Molecule: small nuclear RNA, 104 nt
Filed under: Dasypus novemcinctus (nine-banded armadillo)
Lineage: Eukaryota; Metazoa; Chordata; Mammalia; Cingulata; Dasypodidae
Source: RNAcentral